UACGUAGGGGGCAAGCGUUGUCCGGAAUCAUUGGGCGUAAAGAGCGUGUAGGUGGCCCGGUCAGUCCGCCGUGAAAGUCCAGGGCUCAACCCUGGAAUGCCGGUGGAUACUGCCGGGCUGGAGUCCGGAAGAGGCGAGUGGAAUUCCUGGUGUAGCGGUGAAAUGCGCAGAUAUCAGGAGGAACACCAAGGGCGAAGGCAGCUCGCUGGGACGGUACUGACACUGAGACGCGAAAGCGUGGGGAGCAAACAGG
This 253-nucleotide ribosomal RNA is filed under the name uncultured bacterium. RNAcentral describes it as "partial 16S ribosomal RNA". It matches the Rfam family "Bacterial small subunit ribosomal RNA", at positions 524 to 776 of the family's 1533-position model. The record is from RNAcentral.